This 82-nucleotide transfer RNA is filed under the name Tupanvirus deep ocean. RNAcentral's name for it is "tRNA-Leu". It matches the Rfam family "tRNA". From Rfam's summary of the family: Transfer RNA (tRNA) molecules are approximately 80 nucleotides in length. Their secondary structure includes four short double-helical elements and three loops (D, anti-codon, and T loops). The record is from RNAcentral. Lineage: Varidnaviria; Bamfordvirae; Nucleocytoviricota; Megaviricetes; Imitervirales; Mimiviridae. RNAcentral also lists the same sequence under 1 other name.
GCCCAGUUGGCCGAGCGGUUUAGGCACUCGACUCAAGAUCGAGGACGAAAGUCAAGACAGGUUCGACUCCUGUAUUGGGCAC